RNAcentral lists this ribosomal RNA (253 nucleotides) under uncultured bacterium. Its description in RNAcentral is "partial 16S ribosomal RNA". It matches the Rfam family "Bacterial small subunit ribosomal RNA", at positions 524 to 776 of the family's 1533-position model. The record is from RNAcentral.
UACGUAGGUGGCAAGCGUUGUCCGGAUUUACUGGGCGUAAAGCGCGCGCAGGCGGUUGUCUAAGUCCGGCGUGAAAGCUCCCGGCUCACCUGGGAGAGGGCGUUGGAGACUGGAUGACUGGAGGCAGGCAGAGGCCGGUGGAAUUCCUGGAGUAGUGGUGAAAUGCGUAGAGAUCAGGAGGAACACCCGUGGCGAAGGCGGCCGGCUGGGCCUGUCCUGACGCUGAGGCGCGAAAGCGUGGGGAGCGAACCGG